GACGAACGCUGGCGGCGUGCUUAACACAUGCAAGUCGUACGGUAAGGCCCUUUCGGGGGUACACGAGUGGCGAACGGGUGAGUAACACGUGAGUAACCUGCCCACAACUUUGGGAUAACGCUAGGAAACUGGUGCUAAUACUGGAUAUGUGCUCCUGCUGCAUGGUGGGGGUUGGAAAGCUCCGGCGGUUGUGGAUGGACUCGCGGCCUAUCAGCUUGUUGGUGGGGUAGUGGCCUACCAAGGCGGCGACGGGUAGCCGGCCUGAGAGGGUGACCGGCCACAUUGGGACGGAGAUACGGCCCAGACUCCUACGGGAGGCAGCAGUGGGGAAUAUUGCACAAUGGGCGCAAGCCUGAUGCAGCAACGCCGCGUGCGGGAUGACGGCCUUCGGGUUGUAAACCGCUUUCAGCAGGGACGAAGCUUUUUGUGACGGUACCUGCAGAAAAAGCACCGGCUAACUACGUG
RNAcentral lists this ribosomal RNA (465 nucleotides) under uncultured bacterium. Its description in RNAcentral is "partial 16S ribosomal RNA". It matches the Rfam family "Bacterial small subunit ribosomal RNA", at positions 28 to 507 of the family's 1533-position model. The record is from RNAcentral.